Molecule: ribosomal RNA, 253 nt
Filed under: uncultured bacterium
Lineage: Bacteria
Description: partial 16S ribosomal RNA
Rfam family: Bacterial small subunit ribosomal RNA
Source: RNAcentral
UACAGAGGGGGCAAGCGUUGUUCGGAAUUACUGGGCGUAAAGGGCGCGUAGGCGGCCUGCUAAGUCGAACGUGAAAUCCCCGGGCUCAACCCGGGAACUGCAUCCGAUACUGGUGGGCUUGAAUCCGGGAGAGGGAUGUGGAAUUCCAGGUGUAGCGGUGAAAUGCGUAGAUAUCUGGAGGAACACCGGUGGCGAAGGCGGCAUCCUGGACCGGUAUUGACGCUGAGGCGCGAAAGCCAGGGGAGCAAACGGG